Molecule: non-coding RNA, 30 nt
Filed under: Rattus norvegicus (Norway rat)
Lineage: Eukaryota; Metazoa; Chordata; Mammalia; Rodentia; Muridae
Source: RNAcentral
UCCCUUGCCAUGAUGGUUUGAACCAGCACA